Molecule: ribosomal RNA, 253 nt
Filed under: uncultured bacterium
Lineage: Bacteria
Description: partial 16S ribosomal RNA
Rfam family: Bacterial small subunit ribosomal RNA
Source: RNAcentral
UACAGAGGGGGCAAGCGUUGUUCGGAAUUACUGGGCGUAAAGGGCGCGUAGGCGGCCUUCUAAGUCGAACGUGAAAUCCCCGGGCUCAACCCGGGAACUGCGUCCGAUACUGGAAGGCUUGAAUCCGGGAGAGGGAUGCGGAAUUCCAGGUGUAGCGGUGAAAUGCGCAGAUAUCAGGAGGAACACCGGUGGCGAAGGCGGUUCUCUGGGCAUGUCCUGACGCUGAGGAGCGAAAGUGUGGGGAGCGAACAGG